UUCAGAGAUGAGGGAGUGCCGGUUUACCGGACCAUGAGACAGGUGCUGCAUGGCUGUCGUCAGCUCGUGUCGUGAGAUGUUGGGUUAAGUCCCGCCAACGAGCGCAACCCCUGCUUCCAGUUACCAUCAUUAAGUUGGGGACUCUGGAAGGACCGCUGCGGUAACAACGCAGAGGAAGGUGGGGACGACGUCAAGUCAUCAUGGUCCUUAUGACCAGGGCUACACACGUGCUACAAUGGUAGUUACAGAGGGAAGCGAUACGGCAACGUGGAGCAAAUCUCAGAAAAGCUACCUUAGUUCGGAUUGAGGUCUGCAACUCGACCUCAUGAAGUUGGAAUCGCUAGUAAUCGCGCAACAGCAUGGCGCGGUGAAUACGUUCCCGGGCCUU
RNAcentral lists this ribosomal RNA (388 nucleotides) under uncultured Spirochaetota bacterium. RNAcentral's name for it is "bacterial SSU rRNA". It matches the Rfam family "Bacterial small subunit ribosomal RNA", at positions 999 to 1382 of the family's 1533-position model. Lineage: Bacteria; Pseudomonadati; Spirochaetota. The record is from RNAcentral.